UACGUAGGGGGCAAGCGUUGUCCGGAUUUAUUGGGCGUAAAGAGCGUGUAGGCGGCUUUACAGGUCCGUUGUGAAAACUCGAGGCUCAACCUCGAGACGCCGGUGGAAACCGUAAAGCUAGAGUCCGGAAGAGGAGAGUGGAAUUCCUGGUGUAGCGGUGAAAUGCGCAGAUAUCAGGAAGAACACCCGUGGCGAAGGCGGCUCACUGGCCCGGUACUGACGCUGAGGUGCGAAAGCGUGGGGAGCAAACAGG
Molecule: ribosomal RNA, 253 nt
Filed under: uncultured bacterium
Lineage: Bacteria
Description: partial 16S ribosomal RNA
Rfam family: Bacterial small subunit ribosomal RNA
Source: RNAcentral